CGGCAGCCCGAGUGGUGAUCACUAUUAUUGGGUCUAAAGGGUCCGUAGCCGGUUUGAUCAGUCUUUUGGGAAAUCUGACAGCUUAACUGUUAGGCUUCCAAAGGAUACUGUCAGACUUGGGACCGGGAGAGGUAAGAGGUACUACAGGGGUAGGAGUGAAAUCUUGUAAUCCCUGUGGGACCACCAGUGGCGAAGGCGUCUUACCAGAACGGGUCCGACGGUGAGGGACGAAAGCUGGGGGCACGAACCGGAUUAGAUACCCGGGUAGUCCCAGCCGUAAACGAUGCUCGCUAGGUGUCAGGAAUGGUGCGACCGUUUCUGGUGCCGUAGGGAAGCCGUGAAGCGAGCCACCUGGGAAGUACGGCCGCAAGGCUGAAACUUAAAGGAAUUGGCGGG
RNAcentral lists this ribosomal RNA (396 nucleotides) under uncultured archaeon. RNAcentral's name for it is "bacterial SSU rRNA". It matches the Rfam family "Archaeal small subunit ribosomal RNA", at positions 477 to 872 of the family's 1478-position model. The record is from RNAcentral.